GUCGCUGUGGUCUAGUGGUUAGGACAUUGCGUUGUGGCCGCACUAACCCAGGUUCGAAUCCUGGCAGCGACA
Molecule: non-coding RNA, 72 nt
Organism: Schistosoma mansoni
Lineage: Eukaryota; Metazoa; Platyhelminthes; Trematoda; Strigeidida; Schistosomatidae
Source: Rfam